Catharus ustulatus (Swainson's thrush) is the source of this 324-nucleotide long non-coding RNA. RefSeq lists it as uncharacterized. The transcript is spliced from 4 exons. The record is from RefSeq and is a predicted model, not a curated record. NCBI's taxonomy places the organism in Eukaryota, Metazoa, Chordata, Aves, Passeriformes, Turdidae.
UCCAGAAGAGAUGUUCCAGCAACUGCUUCUCUGUUUUCUUCCUUAGGAGACCUGAGUGUAAGUCCCAUCUCUCAGGAGAUUUUCUACAGUAGGAACAGAGAUCCUCUUCUUCCCUCAUCUAAAAGGGAACUCUGAAUCACCUAUUAACAAAACUGUCAGCAGCCUUGGAGAAUUCCCUGCUGAUAAUCAAAUGUCAUCUGACUCCACCAGACUCAGAACCAGAGGCAGAUAGCAGGAGGAAAAGAAAAAUUAAAUCACCAUCAGCCAGUUCAGCCCUAUGGAUAUAGGUCUUUUUGCUAUAAACAAAGCUUAUUAACUGGACAU